This 920-nucleotide ribosomal RNA is filed under the name uncultured bacterium. RNAcentral's name for it is "bacterial SSU rRNA". It matches the Rfam family "Bacterial small subunit ribosomal RNA", at positions 29 to 946 of the family's 1533-position model. The record is from RNAcentral.
AUGAACGCUAGCGGCAGGCUUAACACAUGCAAGUCGAGGGGCAGCGCGAUGUAGCAAUACAUUGGCGGCGACCGGCGCACGGGUGCGUAACACGUAUGGAACUUGCCCUUUACUGGGAGAUAGCCCUCCGAAAGGAGGAUUAAUAUCCCAUAAUAAACGAGGUGGCAUCACCUUGUUUUGAAAGCUCCGGCGGUAAAGGAUGGCCAUGCGCACGAUUAGCUAGUUGGUGAGGUAAUGGCUCACCAAGGCUACGAUCGUUAGGGGGCCUGAGAGGGUUAUCCCCCACACUGGUACUGAGACACGGACCAGACUCCUACGGGAGGCAGCAGUGAGGAAUAUUGCGCAAUGGAGGCAACUCUGACGCAGCCAUGCCGCGUGCAGGAAGAGGGCGCUACGCGUUGUAAACUGCUUUUAACCGGGAAGAAACCCCAGGACGUGUCCUGGGUUGACGGUACCGGAGGAAUAAGCACCGGCUAACUUCGUGCCAGCAGCCGCGGUAAUACGAAGGGUGCAAGCGUUAUCCGGAUUCAUUGGGUUUAAAGGGUGCGUAGGCGGGGCGUUAAGUCAGUGGUGAAAUCCUGCAGCUCAACUGUAGACUUGCCAUUGAUACUGACGCUCUUGAGUGCGCUUGAAGUAGGCGGAAUGUGCCGUGUAGCGGUGAAAUGCUUAGAUAUGGCACAGAACACCGAUUGCGAAGGCAGCUUACUAAGGCGAUACUGACGCUGAGGCACGAAAGCGUGGGGAUCGAACAGGAUUAGAUACCCUGGUAGUCCACGCCGUAAACGAUGAUCACUCGUCAUUGGCGAUACACUGUCAGUGACCUAGCGAAAGCGUUAAGUGAUCCACCUGGGGAGUACGAUCGCAAGAUUGAAACUCAAAGGAAUUGACGGGGGCCCGCACAAGCGGUGGAGCAUGUGGUU